ACUCCUACGGGAGGCAGCAGUGGGGAAUAUUGCACAAUGGGCGCAAGCCUGAUGCAGCAACGCCGCGUGAGGGACGACGGCCUUCGGGUUGUAAACCUCUUUUAGUAGGGAAGAAGCGAAAGUGACGGUACCUGCAGAAAAAGCACCGGCUAACUACGUGCCAGCAGCCGCGGUAAUACGUAGGGUGCAAGCGUUAUCCGGAAUUAUUGGGCGUAAAGAGCUCGUAGGCGGUUUGUCGCGUCUGCUGUGAAAACUGGAGGCUCAACCUCCAGCCUGCAGUGGGUACGGGCAAACUAGAGUGCGGUAGGGGAGAUUGGAAUUCCUGGUGUAGCGGUGGAAUGCGCAGAUAUCAGGAGGAACACCGAUGGCGAAGGCAGAUCUCUGGGCCGUAACUGACGCUGAGGAGCGAAAGCAUGGGGAGCGAACAGGAUUAGAUACCCUGGUAGUCCAUGCCGUAAACGUUGGGAACUAGAUGUGGGGGCCAUUCCACGGCUUCCGUGUCGCAGCUAACGCAUUAAGUUCCCCGCCUGGGGAGUACGGCCGCAAGGCUAAAACUCAAAGGAAUUGACGGGGGCCCGCACAAGCGGCGGAGCAUGCGGAUUAAUUCGAUGCAACGCGAAGAACCUUACCAAGGCUUGACAUAUACCUGAAAAGGCUGGAAACAGUCUCCCCGCAAGGCAGGUAUACAGGUGGUGCAUGGUUGUCGUCAGCUCGUGUCGUGAGAUGUUGGGUUAAGUCCCGCAACGAGCGCAACCCUCGUUCUAUGUUGCCAGCACGUAAUGGUGGGAACUCAUAGGAGACUGCCGGGGUCANCUCGGA
RNAcentral lists this ribosomal RNA (819 nucleotides) under uncultured Actinomycetes bacterium. Its description in RNAcentral is "bacterial SSU rRNA". It matches the Rfam family "Bacterial small subunit ribosomal RNA", at positions 335 to 1167 of the family's 1533-position model. The record is from RNAcentral. Lineage: Bacteria; Bacillati; Actinomycetota; Actinomycetes.